GAUGAACGCUGGCGGCGUGCCUAAUACAUGCAAGUCGAGCGAACAGACGAGGAGCUUGCUCCUCUGACGUUAGCGGCGGACGGGUGAGUAACACGUGGAUAACCUACCUAUAAGACUGGGAUAACUUCGGGAAACCGGAGCUAAUACCGGAUAAUAUAUUGAACCGCAUGGUUCAAUAGUGAAAGACGGUUUUGCUGUCACUUAUAGAUGGAUCCGCGCCGCAUUAGCUAGUUGGUAAGGUAACGGCUUACCAAGGCAACGAUGCGUAGCCGACCUGAGAGGGGGGUCGGGCACAACGGAACUGAGACACCGGCCAGGAUCCCUAGGGAAGGCGGAAGUGGGAAAUUUUCGGAAUGGGGGGAAAGCCUACCGGAGCAACGCGGGGUGGUGAAUGAGGGCCUUCGAUUGGUAAAACCCUGUAAUAGGGAAGAACAAAUGUGUAAGUAACUAUGCACGUCUUGACGGUACCUAAUCAGAAAGCCACGGCUAACUACGUG
This 497-nucleotide ribosomal RNA is filed under the name uncultured bacterium. RNAcentral describes it as "partial 16S ribosomal RNA". It matches the Rfam family "Bacterial small subunit ribosomal RNA", at positions 28 to 507 of the family's 1533-position model. The record is from RNAcentral.